Long non-coding RNA from Coturnix japonica (Japanese quail), 376 nucleotides. RefSeq lists it as uncharacterized. The record is from RefSeq and is a predicted model, not a curated record. NCBI's taxonomy places the organism in Eukaryota, Metazoa, Chordata, Aves, Galliformes, Phasianidae.
AUGCAAGUAGGAACAAUUCAGAGAAGACUUUGGAUUUAGGAAAAAUAAUUCCUUCAGGUGAACUUCCCCAUAUCCAGGCAUGAGCAGGUGUUCUAGUUUUAACUGACAAUAUCAUAACUCUAUCAGGCAAAGUUAUCCCCAAAAGCUCCCUGAAAUUGUACAAUUUAUACUAGACAGUAGAUACAGUCCCUGCACCGGGAGGAAAAAAAACAACAAACAUCAACUAUCUUCUGAAGUACCUUGCCAGGGUCAAGAUCACUGGUACUCCACACUGGACCUUCUCUACGUCUUGUUGCUCAGAAGCUAUGAUUCUAACAGUACUGUGCUGUAAAAAUCUGGACUAAAUCUAGUAAAGAAGGAGAUCAUUUGUAAGUUA